This is a long non-coding RNA of Oreochromis niloticus (Nile tilapia), 1010 nucleotides long. RefSeq lists it as uncharacterized. The record is from RefSeq and is a predicted model, not a curated record. The transcript has 4 exons. NCBI's taxonomy places the organism in Eukaryota, Metazoa, Chordata, Actinopteri, Cichliformes, Cichlidae.
UCAUGAAGGUGACCUUUUGUUUUCUUAAGUUUCCUGGAAAUUAACAUAGAGUAACUCAGUUGAACAAAAAUUGAAUUAAAAAAGGAAAAAACAUCCCUACUCAGUGACUGAUUUCUUGGACAAAAAAUGUCUCAAAGGAAGGCAAAUCAUAGAAAUUAAGCAAAUGAAAUGCUGAAGAUGUCAUAGGAGGAAAAACAUUUGCAUCAAAGGCACAGUAUGAACGCAGAUGUGCAAGCUACCAAUUCCAUAAGCACCAAUGCACUUCCGUAUCAAAUAUGCAGGUUUCUGAACUGAGUGCUGAUAACAAGGAAAAGGGAAAACACCAGCAUGCCAGAGAAAAUGGUUUUCAGGUGAACUGUCAAACUUUGAAACAAAAAAGGGACUCGCCCCAAGAAGCAGUGAUGUGGGAAACCUUCAGUCUAGAGCCCAGCUGCUCCUUUUAGAUCACUCCUUGGAUGCCCAUCUGCUAUUUUACAAUGGACUCAAACUUCUGUGUCAAACUGACUCGUUGAACAUGACCACUGUUGGCGAAAGAUGGGCCUUUGUCUACAAACCAUAAACCAACUGGAAGGCGCUUAUCAAAAGGUCCAACAGGGCCUCGCCUCGCCUCUCCCUCCCUCCCUCCCUCCCUCUUUAUUCCUCAUGAGUAUGUGAGCGGCAGGCUCACCUCGCUUCACCUCUCCUGGUGAAUCACAGGCUGGCACACCUGUUUUUCAAUCCAUUCACCUGCACGUAAAAGAGCUGGUUCUCCAUUGUUGCCAGAUCAUUAAGCCUAUCAAAAUGAUAAUUGGUCCAGCCUUUGAAAACGUCUGAGUUAAAUUAUUCUCAGUGUACUUACUUGUUCUCUCUGUUUGCCUCGGAUCCCGUCCAAUGUUCCAGCUUGUUUUUCUUUAAGCAUAAAAAAAAAUAUCUAACUGCCUGCUGGAUAUCUCUGUUUGGAAGGAUCCUCAACUCCCUGCCUGCUCUCUCCUUAGUUGGACUGGUCAGCUCUGCACUAAAUAAACCUUUGA